RNAcentral lists this ribosomal RNA (492 nucleotides) under uncultured bacterium. RNAcentral describes it as "partial 16S ribosomal RNA". It matches the Rfam family "Bacterial small subunit ribosomal RNA", at positions 29 to 507 of the family's 1533-position model. The record is from RNAcentral.
AGUGAACGCUGGCGGUAGGCCUAACACAUGCAAGUCGAACGGCAGCACAGUAAGAGCUUGCUCUUACGAGUGGCGAGUGGCGGACGGGUGAGGAAUACAUCGGAAUCUACUUUUUCGUGGGGGAUAACGUAGGGAAACUUACGCUAAUACCGCAUACGACCUACGGGUGAAAGCAGGGGAUCUUCGGACCUUGCGCGAUUGAAUGAGCCGAUGUCGGGUUAGCUAGUUGGCGGGGUAAAGGCCCACCAAGGCGACGAUCCGUAGCUGGUCUGAGAGGAUGAUCAGCCACACUGGAACUGAGACACGGUCCAGACUCCUACGGGAGGCAGCAGUGGGGAAUAUUGGACAAUGGGCGCAAGCCUGAUCCAGCCAUACCGCGUGGGUGAAGAAGGCCUUCGGGUUGUAAAGCCCUUUUGUUGGGAAAGAAAAGCAGCAGGUUAAUACCCCGCUGUUCUGACGGUACCCAAAGAAUAAGCACCGGCUAACUUCGUG